Molecule: ribosomal RNA, 844 nt
Filed under: Sordariomycetes sp. 211d
Lineage: Eukaryota; Fungi; Ascomycota; Sordariomycetes
Description: eukaryotic LSU rRNA
Rfam family: Eukaryotic large subunit ribosomal RNA (bases 440-844)
Source: RNAcentral
GGGACCUACCCGGUACCUGUCCCUUUUGGGACAGACUACCCUGUAGCCCGCCGGUGGAUAUUCAAAACUCGUUAUUUUAAUGUUAUCUGAGCGUCUUAUUUUAANANNUCAAAACUUUCAACAACGGAUCUCUUGGUUCUGGCAUCGAUGAAGAACGCAGCGAAAUGCGAUAAGUAAUGUGAAUUGCAGAAUUCAGUGAAUCAUCGAAUCUUUGAACGCACAUUGCGCCCAUUAGUAUUCUAGUGGGCAUGCCUGUUCGAGCGUCAUUUCAACCCUUAAGCCUAGCUUAGUGUUGGGAAUCUACUGUGGUAGUCUUCUACCUUGUAGUUCCUGAAAUGAAACGGCGGAUCUGCAGUAUCCUNUGAGCGUAGUAAAUUUUUAUCUCGCUUUUGUAAGGUGCUGUGGCUCUUGCCGCUAAAACACCCAAUUUUUUAAUGGUUGACCUCGGAUCAGGUAGGAAUACCCGCUGAACUUAAGCAUAUCAAUAAGCGGAGGAAAAGAAACCAACAGGGAUUGCCCUAGUAACGGCGAGUGAAGCGGCAACAGCUCAAAUUUGAAAUCUGGCCUUCGGGUCCGAAUUGUAAUUUGUAGAGGAUGCUUUUGGUGAGGUACUUUCCGAGUUCCCUGGAACGGGACGCCCUUAGAGGGUGAGAGCCCCGUACGGUUGGAUACCAAGCCUUUGUAUAGCUCCUUCGACGAGUCGAGUAGUUUGGGAAUGCUGCUCUAAAUGGGAGGUAAAUUUCUUCUAAAGCUAAAUACUGGCCAGAGACCGAUAGCGCACAAGUAGAGUGAUCGAAAGAUGAAAAGCACUUUGAAAAGAGGGUUAAAUAGCACGUGAAAUUGU